GACAAUUACAGGAUCAGUGCCCUGUUGUGAGGGACUGCUAUAGGCUAGUUGAGUGAGACACCAAAAGGAAGUAGCAGUGUACCAAGAACAGUUGGAACCGGGAGGCUCAGCUAUCGAGUGCUGAAUAAGAGCAACUGCAGCUACAGUAAAAGGCGACUGGAGACAAUCUGUCAUGUCAGAACACAGCUUGAUAAAUAUUUUACAGGCUAGCAGACGCUCCACUCCUCCUAACCCACUGCCAGACAAUGUCAGGACUCUCGGCAGCAACCUAUCACCAUCGGAGAUGAUCGCGUCAUAGAGUGAGGCCACCUCAGAACUAGUCCAGCCAGAGUGGGGAUAUUACAUUAAAUUCACCCGAAACCUUCAAUCAGAAUGACUGCAAGGGCUGGGAAGACGAAGAUAAAAGACUACUGGAAACAUAAACUGGAACAACCACUUAAGUAACUGGUGCAUAAAGUCAAAGUAAAAGCUAGAAAAAGUUGAUCAAAUUCAUAAC
Molecule: long non-coding RNA, 496 nt
Organism: Esox lucius (northern pike)
Lineage: Eukaryota; Metazoa; Chordata; Actinopteri; Esociformes; Esocidae
Exons: 4
Source: RefSeq, a predicted model, not a curated record